RNAcentral lists this ribosomal RNA (407 nucleotides) under uncultured bacterium. RNAcentral's name for it is "partial 16S ribosomal RNA". It matches the Rfam family "Bacterial small subunit ribosomal RNA", at positions 30 to 526 of the family's 1533-position model. The record is from RNAcentral.
AUUGAACGCUGGCGGCAGGCCUAACACAUGCAAGUCGAACGGAGCGGCGGACGGGUGAGUAAUACCUAGGAAUCUGCCUGGUAGUGGGGGAUAACGUUCGGAAACGGACGCUAAUACCGCAUACUAUCAGAUGAGCCUUGGUCGGAUUAGCUAGUUGGUGAGGUAAUGGCUCACCAAGGCUACGAUCCGUAACUGGUCUGAGAGGAUGAUAAGUAACACUGGAACUGAGACACGGUCCCAACUCCUUCGGUAGGAAGAAGUGGGGAAUAUUGGAGAAUGGGCGAAAGCCUGAUCCAGCCAGGCCGCGUGUGUGAAGAAGGUCUUCGGAUUGUAAAGCACUUUAAGUUGGGAGGCGUUACCGACAGAAUAAGCACCGGCUAACUCUGUGCCAGCAGCCGCGGUAAUAC